GGAGGGGUACCAAAGUGGUCAAAUGGGGCGGACUGUAAAUCCGUUGCGUAAGCUUCGUAGGUUCGAAUCCUACCCCCUCCACCA
RNAcentral lists this transfer RNA (84 nucleotides) under Collibacillus ludicampi. Its description in RNAcentral is "tRNA-Tyr". It matches the Rfam family "tRNA". Rfam says of the family: Transfer RNA (tRNA) molecules are approximately 80 nucleotides in length. The record is from RNAcentral. Lineage: Bacteria; Bacillati; Bacillota; Bacilli; Caryophanales; Alicyclobacillaceae.